AAGUUGAGUUUUCAAUUUCACUUAAAAUCACCCCCUCUUUUUUAUGCUAUAUUGCUGCAAGCACAAAUCACUAAAUUAUACAUUUUAAUACAAUUUUAUUUUAUAAUU
Long non-coding RNA from Octopus sinensis (East Asian common octopus), 108 nucleotides. RefSeq lists it as uncharacterized. NCBI's taxonomy places the organism in Eukaryota, Metazoa, Mollusca, Cephalopoda, Octopoda, Octopodidae. The record is from RefSeq and is a predicted model, not a curated record. The transcript has 3 exons.